Long non-coding RNA from Heterocephalus glaber (naked mole-rat), 1999 nucleotides. The record is from Ensembl. NCBI's taxonomy places the organism in Eukaryota, Metazoa, Chordata, Mammalia, Rodentia, Bathyergidae.
AAGCACUUCUAAGCUUAUUGUCAUAAAAAUGUACUCUAAGAUAUAGUUAAACAAAGACAUAUCGCAUAAUGGUAUAAAAAGUAUAUUCAGUUACUAUAAAACAAUAUUAAGCUACAUAUCCUCAUAUAUUUCUUUAGAAUAUUGUAUUGGUUAAUCAGUUCUGUGUUUAUUAGUAUGUGUUUGCUGAAUAAAAUGAUUAUAUUUAUUGUGGGGAGUUGGUAUAAGAACAUAACACAUCUUAAUUCUUUUCUACUUCCCCUUGCACUCCCCUAACUUGAUUGUGAUUUGACUGGCUUGAGAGACACCUAGAUAAGUAAAGCACAUUUCCAGAUGUGUCUGGGUGGAUGAAGGAGGUGUGACUUUGGGGAUAAUAUCUUGCCCCUGGCUGUUCUUCUUGAGCUCCUCUCCUGCUCUCUGCUUGUUGAAUGCAAGUGAGUUCGGCAGCUUUCCUCCAUCUUGCCUUUCCACACUGAUGUUUUUAACCUUGGAGCCAGCACACCAGAGACUGAAACUUUUGAAACUGAGCAAAAAUAAUACUCUCCUUCUUUACAUUGGGAAUGUCAGGUACUUUUUUUCAGCAAUGAAAAAGCUGGCCAGCACAAAUAUAUCUUUUAUUGUUUUGUUUUGUGUUUAGCAUUGCUGAGGUUCAAAUUCAAGACCUCAUACUUGGUAGACAAGCACUUUAAAAUUGAUCUAUAUCUCCAAAUCCUAGAAUGUAUUCUUAAAAUUGAAAUUUUUAUUAUCAAUAGAAAUUUGUCUCACAUGUGUUUAUCCCAGAUAUCUAUGUGGUAACUUCCCCUGUCUUCAAGUUUCUUUCAGAUUUUUACCACUAUUUCAUAGUUCAAAUUGUCUCUAUCCUACUAAAUCUCACUCCUUAACCUAUUCUGUUUUCCUUUUUUACAGAUUCAUCCUUUUCAAUCACACAAUAUGUGUGUCAUUUAUUAUAUUAGUUUAUUGUUGUUGUUCUUGUUCACUAAAGAGGAAAGGCUCAGUAAAUAUUUAUGGGGUGGAAACAGUGGUAAUACUAUUGUAGCUCACUUUCCAAAGUUCUCACCAAAAUGGCUAUUUGAAUUCAAGCAUGGCAUGAAAACACUUUGUGUUUGUUAUGUGCAUACAUGCACAAAUGUGUGCAUAUUACAUGCACACAUUAGCACAGUGCAGAUUAAGUACCAAAAUAUACCAAAAUAAUGGUUAAUUGCCUUACUUAUAAACUAAUGUUUUUUAAUUUUAAAGGUGAUCAUUUUAUUUUAGAAUCAGGAAAUGAAAAGGAGGUGGUUCUCCUUGCCCAAAAAAGGAAGUGUUUACUUAUAUGAUACCCAUAGGAUCAUCUUCGCGGGUGCGACCAUACCCCAGGGAGGCCACAGUGGAGACCAGGACAGUAAUCAUGGAAGAGCCUGUCCCAAGCCUCUGGAGGCUGCCCACCGGGAGCUCUCUGCUGCUCUCCCCAACAUACUCUCCUCUUGCUUCUCUGAAAUAGCUGGAAUGAAGAAAGUUAAAAAUUGUAUAGGUGAAACAUUUUCCAAAAAUUUGCCUCAUAGAAUGAUCAAGGAUUCAGCAAAAUAAAGGUUUCCUUCCAGGAAUGAGGCAUAGGAGACACCAUCUCAUGGCUCUCAUUUGAGUUCCUUUCUGGUAAAUGCCCUUUGCCAAAGAGAGACAUCUUGCCCUAAGUCACACCUUUUCUUGGAGUCAGGCUGUGUCAAGUGGCUGUCAGGUUUAUCCAGGGAGCACAUAAAUGUGUGACCCCCAUGCCCUGAUGAGGGUGCUGUAAGGAGUCCAUCUCCAUCUCAGAGUACUUUGUAAUCAGGUACGUCAUAGUUGUGACUCAUCUAGAUUAAAUCUUCCCUCUCCCUAACCCAACAUUCCUCUAUAAACAUUCCUAAUAAACUUCCUAUGUGUGAACAUUUGUUUCAUGGAGAACUGACUUAAAACAACAGUCUCAUUUACACAUUAAUAUGUAAGCCUGAAAAUCCAAUCAUCUUCUGAUACCAUAGAAUAGUAC